Molecule: ribosomal RNA, 164 nt
Filed under: uncultured bacterium
Lineage: Bacteria
Description: partial 16S rRNA
Rfam family: Bacterial small subunit ribosomal RNA
Source: RNAcentral
UAGGGAAUCUUCGGCAAUGGGGGCAACCCUGACCGAGCAACGCCGCGUGAGUGAAGAAGGUUUUCGGAUCGUAAAACUCUGUUGUUAGAGAAGAACACGAGUGAGAGUAACUGUUCAUUCGAUGACGGUAUCUAACCAGCAAGUCACGGCUAACUACGAGCCGG